GAAUAUUGCACAAUGGGCGAAAGCCUGAUGCAACGACGCCGCGUGCAGGAUGAAUGCCUUCGGGUUGUAAACCCCUUUCAGGAAGGACGUACAAAAGUGACGGUACCUCCAGAAGAAGCCCCGGCCAACUACGUGCCAGCAGCCGCGGUAAUACGUAGGGGGCGAGCGUUGUCCGGAUUUAUUGGGCGUAAAGAGCUCGUAGGCGGCUCAGCAAGUCGGCCGUGAAAGCCUGAGGCUCAACCUCAGGAUGCCGGUCGAAACUGCUGUGGCUAGGGUUCGGUAGAGGAGAGUGGAAUUCCCGGUGUAGCGGUGAAAUGCGCAGAUAUCGGGAGGAACACCAGUAGCGAAGGCGGCUCUCUGGGCCGAUACCGACGCUGAGGAGCGAAAGCUAGGGGAGCGAACAGGAUUAGAUACCCUGGUAGUCCUAGCUGUAAACGUUGGGCACUAGGUGUGGCGGACUCAUUCACGUGUGCAGUGCCGAAGCUAACGCAUUAAGUGCCCCGCCUGGGGAGUACGGUCGCAAGGCUAGAACUCAAAGGAAUUGAC
This 546-nucleotide ribosomal RNA is filed under the name uncultured bacterium. Its description in RNAcentral is "bacterial SSU rRNA". It matches the Rfam family "Bacterial small subunit ribosomal RNA", at positions 359 to 914 of the family's 1533-position model. The record is from RNAcentral.